This 496-nucleotide ribosomal RNA is filed under the name uncultured bacterium. RNAcentral's name for it is "partial 16S ribosomal RNA". It matches the Rfam family "Bacterial small subunit ribosomal RNA", at positions 29 to 507 of the family's 1533-position model. The record is from RNAcentral.
AUGAACGCUGGUGGCGUGCCUAAUACAUGCAAGUCGAGCGAACAGACGAGGAGCUUGCUCCUCUGACGUUAGCGGCGGACGGGUGAGUAACACGUGGAUAACCUACCUAUAAGACUGGGAUAACUUCGGGAAACCGGAGCUAAUACCGGAUAAUAUAUUGAACCGCAUGGUUCAAUAGUGAAAGACGGUUUUGCUGUCACUUAUAGAUGGAUCCGCGCCGCAUUAGCUAGUUGGUAAGGUAACGGCUUACCAAGGCGACGAUGCGUAGCCGACCUGAGAGGGUGAUCGGCCACACUGGAACUGAGACACGGUCCAGACUCCUACGGGAGGCAGCAGUAGGGAAUCUUCCGCAAUGGGCGAAAGCCUGACGGAGCAACGCCGCGUGAGUGAUGAAGGUCUUCGGAUCGUAAAACUCUGUUAUUAGGGAAGAACAAAUGUGUAAGUAACUAUGCACGUCUUGACGGUACCUAAUCAGAAAGCCACGGCUAACUACGUG